AUCUUAAUAAGCGGAGGAAAAGAAACUAACUAGGAUUCCCUAAGUAACAGCGAGUGAACAGGGAAGAGCUCAGAGUUAAAAUCGAGACCUUCGGGCUCGAGUUGUACUUUUUAGAGGAUCAUCUGUGGGAGAACCGGGUAUAAGUGCUCUCAGAACGAGCCGUCAAAGAGGGUGAAAAUCCCGUAUUUGACCCGGAUAAACCUCCCUCCAACAGGGAUUCCUCGUAGAGUCAGGCUGUUUGGGAUUGCAGCCCAAAGUGGGUGGUAGGCUUCAUCUAAAGCUAAAUAUUUGCAAGAGACCGAUAGCGCACAAGUA
RNAcentral lists this ribosomal RNA (315 nucleotides) under uncultured eukaryote. RNAcentral's name for it is "partial large subunit ribosomal RNA". It matches the Rfam family "Eukaryotic large subunit ribosomal RNA", at positions 40 to 350 of the family's 3401-position model. The record is from RNAcentral.